GCCUACGGGGCGCAGCAGUGAGGAAUAUUGGUCAAUGGGCUUACGCCUGAACCAGCCAAGUCGCGUGAGGGAAGACUGCCCUAUGGGUUGUAAACCUCUUUUGUCAGGGAGCAACGCCGGCUACGUGUAGCCGGACUGAGAGUACCUGAAGAAAAAGCAUCGGCUAACUCCGUGCCAGCAGCCGCGGUAAUACGGAGGAUGCGAGCGUUAUCCGGAUUUAUUGGGUUUAAAGGGUGCGUAGGCGGAAUGCCAAGUCAGCGGUAAAAUCGCGGGGCUCAACCUUGCUCCGCCGUUGAAACUGGCGU
Molecule: ribosomal RNA, 305 nt
Filed under: uncultured bacterium
Lineage: Bacteria
Description: bacterial SSU rRNA
Rfam family: Bacterial small subunit ribosomal RNA
Source: RNAcentral